RNAcentral lists this ribosomal RNA (253 nucleotides) under uncultured bacterium. Its description in RNAcentral is "partial 16S ribosomal RNA". It matches the Rfam family "Bacterial small subunit ribosomal RNA", at positions 524 to 776 of the family's 1533-position model. The record is from RNAcentral.
UACGGAGGGUGCAAGCGUUGUCCGGAUUUAUUGGGUUUAAAGGGUGCGUAGGCGGCCCAGUAAGUCCGCUGUAAAAGUCAAAGGCUCAACCUUUGAAUGCCGGUGGAUACUGCUGGGCUAGAGUCCGGAAGAGGCGAGUGGAAUUCCUGGUGUAGCGGUGGAAUGCGCAGAUAUCAGGAGGAACACCAAUAGCGAAGGCAGCUCGCUGGGACGGUACUGACGCUGAGGAGCGAAAGCGUGGGGAGCAAACAGG